GUGAGGAAUAUUGGUCAAUGGACGGAAGUCUGAACCAGCCAUCCCGCGUGCAGGAAGAAGGCGCUAUGCGUUGUAAACUGCUUUUCCAGGGGAAGAAAACCUGCUACGUGUAGUGGUUUGCCGGUACCCUGGGAAUAAGCAUCGGCUAACUCCGUGCCAGCAGCCGCGGUAAUACGGAGGAUGCGAGCGUUAUCCGGAUUUAUUGGGUUUAAAGGGUGCGUAGGCGGACCGAUAAGUCAGUGGUGAAAACCUGCAGCUUAACUGUAGAACUGCCAUUGAUACUGUCGGACUUGAGUGUGGUCAAGGUAGGCGGAAUGUGUAAUGUAGCGGUGAAAUGCUUAGAUAUUACACAGAACACCGAUUGCGAAGGCAGCUUGCUGGACCAUUACUGACGCUGAUGCACGAAAGCGUGGGGAGCAAACAGGAUUAGAAACCCCUGUAGUCC
Molecule: ribosomal RNA, 445 nt
Filed under: uncultured bacterium
Lineage: Bacteria
Description: bacterial SSU rRNA
Rfam family: Bacterial small subunit ribosomal RNA
Source: RNAcentral